Molecule: long non-coding RNA, 1406 nt
Organism: Cyprinus carpio carpio
Lineage: Eukaryota; Metazoa; Chordata; Actinopteri; Cypriniformes; Cyprinidae
Source: Ensembl
CUAUAACUCGUUGCAAAGAAAUAAGACUGUUAAUUUUGCCAGCAAUAAAAACCAAAGGGCUUAGAGAAACGGAUUUUUUCCAGGACAUUAAUCAUGAAAAUUUAAUGGAUAUCAAAUAUUUAAUACAGUGGAAUGUACAACUUGUAUUACUAUGGCUCUCCUCAAAUCGAUCAUGUCGGGAAAAUCCAUAAUUAAAAUUAUGCUAGCGGGAGCAAAUCAUUAACAUUCGGCUUUUCUCUUUCCUCUGGAAGAAUGAAAUGUACCAGCGCCUGCUGAUGUAUAGCCUAUUACAGAAAAGGAUAAAUGAUUACUCUCCUUAUAAAAAUGACUACUUAAUUAUAUUGGAGUUAUUGAAAGUGUGUAAUAUAUCUUGAGAUACUGAAUGCAGCAUUCGCUAUAAAAAAAAAAAAAAGUUAAUUAUGGCUGGGAGCUUAUAAUAAUGUUCUUGCCUACCAAAUUCAAUUUGGUUGUACUAAAAGGAGUAGCCACAGCAUUUCCUUUUUUAUUUUAGUGAAAACCCUCUUGUUUGAGUUGGGUUGCUUGCUUUUGACAUUUUAAACUUGUUAAUCCUCUUGUGCCAUACGCAAGAACAUUUCCCAGAGUAAUUAAUUUGUCAAAUUUUUAAAGGGCUGAUAAAUUAGAACCCUUUUGAAAUGAUCUAGAAUUCACUCAGUUUUAAUAUUGCUUGAAACCACUUCAUCUUCCUAUCUGCAGUAUGGUUUAGCCUCUUAGCAGAUAUCAAAACAUAAGUUUCAGCAUUUCGCCGCUGUGUAUAUUUAUUACAGGUUGGAAAGAGCACAAGAGCAUGAAAGGAAAAGCAAGGUUUGGUUCCCCUGGGGAGUUUCUUCCGUUCUCUGCUCUUAUGGCCUUACACAAGGGGCACCAGAUGCUCCAGGUGUACCCUGUGAAAGUGUAUUAGCAGCUGGCAUGCUGAUACCUGUGUACUGCAUGAAGAACCAAGAUUUAUUCAUUUAUUGGUAGGCCUAUAUAUGUUUUGGCCAGGAAAAGGAAGAAACAUUCAAAUGAAGAUUGUAGGCAAAUUAUUGUUUUUUUUUAUAGGUAUAUUUCCAGCCAUUUCAACAAGUAGAACUGAACACAUUAAUACAGCCAAGAAGCAGAGACAUGGCCUGAUACAAGCCUAUAAUCGCUAGGCAGUGGACAAACCCCAGGGUGCAAUUUACUAUUUUGGUUUCCUGCAUGAAUUCCAGGAAUUGUGUAAGUAUGUGUGUGUGCUGGCGAAACAAUGAGCAUUACAUCCAUCAUUACAUUUUCUGAGGGCAUUAUUUCAACUUCUCUUAGCCAUAUUUUAUGGCCUCAUUUUUACUGCCACAUUCUUAGAUUUCAAAGUCAUAGCUCAUAUCCAAAAAUGCUUCUCUAAAGUUCUGCACCUCAUAAAAGAAAUAGUU